CGGCGAGUGAAGCGGCAACAGCUCAAAUUUGAAAUCUGGCCCCAGGCCCGAGUUGUAAUUUGCAGAGGAUGCUUCGGGCGCGGCGCCUUCCAAGUCCCCUGGAACGGGGCGCCAUGGAGGGUGAGAGCCCCGUACGGUCGGACGCCAAGCCUAUGUGAAGCUCCUUCGACGAGUCGAGUAGUUUGGGAAUGCUGCUCAAAAUGGGAGGUAGACCCCUUCUAAAGCUAAAUACCGGCUAGAGACCGAUAGCGCACAAGUAGAGUGAUCGAAAGAUGAAAAGAACUUUGAAAAGAGGGUUAAACAGCACGUGAAAUUGUUGAAAGGGAAGCGCUUGUGACCAGACUUGCGCCGGGGCGAUCAUCUGGCGUUCUCGCCGGUGCACUCGCCCCGGCCCAGGCCAGCGUCGGUUCGGGAGGGGGGACAAGGGCGCCAGGAACGUAGCUCCUUCGGGAGUGUUACAGCCCGGCGCGUCAUGCCCCCGCCUGGACCGAGGUUCGCGCUCUGCAAGGACGCUGGCGUAAUGGUCAUCAGCGGCCCGUCUUGAAACACGGACCAAGGAGUCGAGGUUCUGCGCGAGUGUUUGGGUGCCAAACCCGCACGCGUAAUGAAAGUGAACGUAGGUGGGAGCCUCGGCGCACCACCGACCGAUCCUGAUGUUCUCGGAUGGAUUUGAGUACGAGCGUUGGGCCUCGGACCCGAAAGAUGGUGAACUAUGCUUGGAUAGGGUGAAGCCAGAGGAAACUCUGGUGGAGGCUCGCAGCGGUUCUGACGUGCAAAUCGAUCGUCAAAUCUGAGCAUGGGGGCGAAAGACUAA
RNAcentral lists this ribosomal RNA (814 nucleotides) under Chaetosphaeria sp. RNAcentral describes it as "partial large subunit ribosomal RNA". It matches the Rfam family "Eukaryotic large subunit ribosomal RNA", at positions 87 to 934 of the family's 3401-position model. Lineage: Eukaryota; Fungi; Ascomycota; Sordariomycetes; Chaetosphaeriales; Chaetosphaeriaceae. The record is from RNAcentral.